GUGGGUAACCUGCCUGUAAGACUGGGAUAACUCCGGGAAACCGGAGCUAAUACCGGAUAGUUCCUUGAACCGCAUGGUUCAAGGAUGAAAGACGGUUUCGGCUGUCACUUACAGAUGGACCCGCGGCGCAUUAGCUAGUUGGUGGGGUAAUGGCUCACCAAGGCGACGAUGCGUAGCCGACCUGAGAGGGUGAUCGGCCACACUGGGACUGAGACACGGCCCAGACUCCUACGGGAGGCAGCAGUAGGGAAUCUUCCGCAAUGGACGAAAGUCUGACGGAGCAACGCCGCGUGAGUGAUGAAGGUUUUCGGAUCGUAAAGCUCUGUUGUUAGGGAAGAACAAGUGCNAGAGUAACUGCUCGCACCUUGACGGUACCUAACCAGAAAGCCACGGCUAACUACGUGCCAGCAGCCGCGGUAAUACGUAGGUGGCAAGCGUUGUCCGGAAUUAUUGGGCGUAAAGGGCUCGCAGGCGGUUUCUUAAGUCUGAUGUGAAAGCCCCCGGCUCAACCGGGGAGGGUCAUUGGAAACUGNGAAACUUGAGUGCAGAAGAGGAGAGUGGAAUUCCACGUGUAGCGGUGAAAUGCGUAGAGAUGUGGAGGAACACCAGUGGCGAAGGCGACUCUCUGGUCUGUAACUGACGCUGAGGAGCGAAAGCGUGGGGAGCGAACAGGANUUAGAUUCCCUGGUAGUCCACGCCGUAAACGAUGAGUGCUAAGUGUUAGGGGGUUUCCGCCCCUUAGUGCUGCANCUAACGCAUUAAGCACUCCGCCUGGGGAGUACGGUCGCAAGACUGAAACUCAAAGGAAUUGACGGGGGCCCGCACAAGCGGUGGAGCAUGUGGUUUAAUUCGAAGCAACGCGAAGAACCUUACCAGGUCUUGACAUCCUCUGACAACCCUAGAGAUAGGGCUUUCCCUUCGGGGACAGAGUGACAGGUGGUGCAUGGUUGUCGUCAGCUCGUGUCGUGAGAUGUUGGGUUAAGUCCCGCAACGAGCGCAACCCUUGAUCUUAGUUGCCAGCAUUUAGUUGGGCACUCUAAGGUGACUGCCGGUGACAAACCGGAGGAAGGUGGGGAUGACGUCAAAUCAUCAUGCCCCUUAUGACCUGGGCUACACACGUGCUACAAUGGACAGAACAAAGGGCUGCGAGACCGCAAGGUUUAGCCAAUCCCAUAAAUCUGUUCUCAGUUCGGAUCGCAGUCUGCAACUCGACUGCGUGAAGCUGGAAUCGCUAGUAAUCGCGGAUCAGCAUGCNGCGGUGAAUACGUUCCCGGGCCUUGUACACACC
Molecule: ribosomal RNA, 1288 nt
Filed under: Bacillus sp. Y41(2010)
Lineage: Bacteria; Bacillati; Bacillota; Bacilli; Caryophanales; Bacillaceae
Description: bacterial SSU rRNA
Rfam family: Bacterial small subunit ribosomal RNA
Source: RNAcentral